Molecule: ribosomal RNA, 519 nt
Filed under: Triticum aestivum (bread wheat)
Lineage: Eukaryota; Viridiplantae; Streptophyta; Magnoliopsida; Poales; Poaceae
Description: partial small subunit ribosomal RNA
Source: RNAcentral
AUGAGCCGACGCUCUCUGUAUAAAGCGGCCACUGUGCACAAGUCAAAUCGCCCAAGAGGAGAAGCCAAGCAAAGAACGAAGCAGAACACAUCUGUCUGUCUUCCUUCAUUCACACGCGCGUGCGCGCGAGGGAGGGAGGGAGGGAGGGAGGGAGGGAGAGAGAGAGGAUUCCCUGGUUUGGUGGCGCUCGGCAAUGUGAUGGCGCAGCCGCAGCAGCAGCAACGGCAACGGCGCCUCGUCGCGGCGCUCCUGGUGCUCCUCUCCCUCUGCUGCCUUGCUCGCCUCGGCGCCGCGGCUUCUGCAGCGAGUGCUGACCCUCACCGGAAGGAUGGAGCGGCGACUGCGCUGGGCAAGGCCGCGCCACAGGAUGAGGAGGCAGCGCCCGGGUUCACGACGACCACCGUGGAGGACCGAGGGCGAGGGCGAGGACCGGUGAGGGUAGUGAUGGAGGUUGACAUCGAGGACUAUCCCCGGUAUGGCGCCAAUGGCCGGCACAACCCGGAGGGUCCGCACCCGUGA